CGAACGGGUGAGUAAUGCGUGACCAACCUGCCCCAUGCUCCAGAAUAGCUCUUGGGAACGGGUGGUAAUGCUGGAUGCUCCAACUUGACGCAUGUCUUGUUGGGAAAGUGUUUAGUGGCAUGGGAUGGGGUCGCGUCCUAUCAGCUUGUAGGCGGGGUAAUGGCCCACCUAGGCUUCGACGGGUAGCCGGCCUGAGAGGGCGGACGGCCACAUUGGGACUGAGAUACGGCCCAGACUCCUACGGGAGGCAGCAGC
RNAcentral lists this ribosomal RNA (255 nucleotides) under uncultured Gardnerella sp. Its description in RNAcentral is "partial 16S ribosomal RNA". It matches the Rfam family "Bacterial small subunit ribosomal RNA", at positions 99 to 355 of the family's 1533-position model. The record is from RNAcentral. Lineage: Bacteria; Bacillati; Actinomycetota; Actinomycetes; Bifidobacteriales; Bifidobacteriaceae.